This is a long non-coding RNA of Cyprinus carpio (common carp), 836 nucleotides long. RefSeq lists it as uncharacterized. Lineage: Eukaryota; Metazoa; Chordata; Actinopteri; Cypriniformes; Cyprinidae. The transcript has 3 exons. The record is from RefSeq and is a predicted model, not a curated record.
CACUGUUGAAAUGUAACUAAGUAAUUUUUAAAUUAUGUAAAUUAAAUUAAGUAAAUUUUAAACAAGCUACUUUUUACUUUUACUUGAGUAUAAUUUUAUACUGGUACUUUUACUUGUACUUAAAUGGUACCUUUACUUGAGUAAAAUAUUUCCGUACUCUUUCCACCUUUGGUGAUAUCAGCAUCAUCCACUAGUGUUUAUGCAGACAGGCGAUUCAGGUCAUAGACAAACUGGGACAGUAGUGGCUUAUUUUCCUGCAUAUGUUUGCAGUCUUGAAGAAUAGAAGGAUGGAUAAAAAUCCAUCGUAGCUGUUGACUGGAUGCUGAAAUACUGGAAGAUGCUCUUUGGAAAGGUCAGGUCUCUCCAUCUGGGUCAAGCAGCGGGCAAGAAUGGGGGAUUUCAGAGCCGAGGAAGGGAGGCCACACCUGCGUGCUGUCAGAAUGUGAAAGGCAUGUUAUGUCAGGCUAGGUGGUGCAUGGAGUUGAGCAAUCUGGACAGCAGAGAGACAGAGACGGAGAGACAUAAUGAGAAGUGCUGUAUCAUCCUCGGUGAGCUCUGUUAAUGUGUGUGUGUGUGUGUGUGUGUGUGUGUCGCACACAGUACACCUCCACAGCCUCUUCAACUCCUCACUUCUGUCAUUUUUAAAUGAUGACUGUGCUGUAUUACCUUCACACUCACAGGAUGAAAGACUGUUCUUGGAAUCUAAGUAACAAAACACAAUUCUGACUUACAAACUACUGCAAAAGGUGGUUUUCUUACUCAGUAUUUCCACAGUCUUGUUUUCCCGAUACAAAACAUUCUUAAAUCAGGAUAAAUUUACUUGAAAAGAAAAACGA